GGCCCCCUAGCUCAGUGGAUUAGAGCGUGUGAUUCCAGUCACAGCAUAAUGUGAUGCUUUUCAUGAAGCGUCACACUGUGCUGUGGAACUUCCACAAGGUCAUCCGUUCGACUCGGGUGGGGGUCA
This is a non-coding RNA of Crucibulum laeve, 126 nucleotides long. Lineage: Eukaryota; Fungi; Basidiomycota; Agaricomycetes; Agaricales; Nidulariaceae. The record is from the annotation of a GenBank genome assembly.